This 425-nucleotide ribosomal RNA is filed under the name uncultured bacterium. RNAcentral describes it as "bacterial SSU rRNA". It matches the Rfam family "Bacterial small subunit ribosomal RNA", at positions 354 to 796 of the family's 1533-position model. The record is from RNAcentral.
GUGGGGAAUCUUAGACAAUGGGCGCAAGCCUGAUCUAGCCAUGCCGCGUGGACGAUGAAGGCCUUAGGGUUGUAAAGUCCUUUCGCUGGGGAAGAUAAUGACGGUACCCAGUAAAGAAGCCCCGGCUAACUCCGUGCCAGCAGCCGCGGUAAUACGGAGGGGGCUAGCGUUGUUCGGAAUUACUGGGCGUAAAGCGCGCGUAGGCGGAUCGGAAAGUUGGGGGUGAAAUCCCGGGGCUCAACCUCGGAACUGCCUUCAUAACUCCCGGUCUUGAGUUCGAGAGAGGUGAGUGGAAUUCCGGGUGUAGAGGUGAAAUUCGUAGAUAUUCGGAGGAACACCAGUGGCGAAGGCGGCUCACUGGCUCGAUACUGACGCUGAGGUGCGAAAGCGUGGGGAGCAAACAGGAUUAGAAACCCGGGUAGUCC